UAGGCGGUGGAUUCCCCUGGCUAACAACUAACUGUGCGAACGAGUAAAUCCCCUUUAGGUGCUCUAAUGCUUCACCUUUACGCAGUGAUUUGUAAUCCUUUCUAGAAUUUGAUCCACCUUUCAGGACCUUUGUCCCUGGUGAAAAAAAACUCAAUAACUAAUUUUUGAGUGCCUGGUAUGGAAUUCAGUCGUGGAAAACAAUCUGGGCGCUUAAGGUAAGAAAACAAGCAAAGAGAUUAAGCAAGUGAUAACUGGUAA
Long non-coding RNA from Lutra lutra (Eurasian river otter), 258 nucleotides. RefSeq lists it as uncharacterized. Lineage: Eukaryota; Metazoa; Chordata; Mammalia; Carnivora; Mustelidae. The record is from RefSeq and is a predicted model, not a curated record. The transcript has 2 exons.